AACACUGCGCCGGAAUGAACGGAUUAUAUUGAUGUUAUAAAAUAUAAGUUUAUACUUCUGUGUUU
RNAcentral lists this transfer RNA (65 nucleotides) under Sepioloidea lineolata. RNAcentral describes it as "tRNA-Ile". Lineage: Eukaryota; Metazoa; Mollusca; Cephalopoda; Sepiida; Sepiadariidae. The record is from RNAcentral.